AGUACUGUGAAGGAAAGGCGAAAAGAACCCCGGUGAGGGGAGUGAAAUAGAACCUGAAACCUUGUACGUACAAGCAGUGGGAGCCCGCAAGGGUGACUGCGUACCUUUUGUAUAAUGGGUCAGCGACUUAUAUUUUGUAGCGAGGUUAACCGAAUAGGGGAGCCGAAGGGAAACCGAGUCUUAACUGGGCGAAUAGUUGCAAGGUAUAGACCCGAAACCCGGUGAUCUAGCCAUGGGCAGGUUGAAGGUUGGGUAACACUAACUGGAGGACCGAACCGACUAAUGUUGAAAAAUUAGCGGAUGACUUGUGGCUGGGGGUGAAAGGCCAAUCAAACCGGGAGAUAGCUGGUUCUCCCCGAAAUCUAUUUAGGUAGAGCCUUGAGCGGACACCUUCGGGGGUAGAGCACUGUUUCGGCUAGGGGUCCAUCCCGGAUUACCAACCCGAUGCAAACUACGAAUACCGAAGAGUGAUACUCAGGAGACACACGGCGGGUGCUAACGUCCGUCGUGGAGAGGGAAACAACCCAGACCGCCAGCUAAGGUCCCAAAGUCUAUAUUAAGUGGGAAACGAAGUGGGAAGGCUUAGACAGCUAGGAUGUUGGCUUAGAAGCAGCCAUCAUUUAAAGAAAGCGUAAUAGCUCACUAGUCGAGUCGGCCUGCGCGGAAGAUGUAACGGGGCUCAAAUAUAGCACCGAAGCUGCGGCAUCAGACGAAAGUCUGUUGGGUAGGGGAGCGUUCUGUAAGCGGAUGAAGGUUCAUCGAGAGGUGGGCGGGACGUAUCACAAGUGCGAAUGCUGACAUAAGUAACGAUAAAACGGGUGAAAAACCCGUUCGCCGGAAGACCAAGGGUUCCUGUCCAACGUUAAUCGGGGCAGGGUGAGUCGGCCCCUAAGGCGAGGCUGAAAAGCGUAGUCGAUGGGAAACGGGUUAAUAUUCCCGUACUUGGAUAAACUGCGAUGUGGGGACGGAGCAGGUUAGGUUAUCGCACUGUUGGAUAUGUGCGUUUAAGUUGGUAGGUGGGAAGUUUAGGCAAAUCCGGACUUCCUUAACACUGAGAGAUGAUGACGAGGCUCUACGGAGCUGAAGUAACUGAUACCACACUUCCAGGAAAAGCCACUAAGCGAAAGGCUUUACUAAACCGUACUGAAAACCGACACAGGUGGUCAGGUAGAGAAUACUCAGGCGCUUGAGAGAACUCGGGUGAAGGAACUAGGCAAAAUAGCACCGUAACUUCGGGAGAAGGUGCGCCGGCGUAGAUUGUAGUCCCUCGCGGGCGAAGGUUGAACCGGUCGAAGAUACCAGCUGGCUGCAACUGUUUAUUAAAAACACAGCACUCUGCAAACACGAAAGUGGACGUAUAGGGUGUGACGCCUGCCCGGUGCUGGAAGGUUAAUUGAAGAUGUGCAAGCAUCGGAUCGAAGCCCCAGUAAACGGCGGCCGUAACUAUAACGGUCCUAAGGUAGCGAAAUUCCUUGUCGGGUAAGUUCCGACCUGCACGAAUGGCAUAAUGAUGGCCAGGCUGUCUCCACCCGAGACUCAGUGAAAUUGAAAUCGCCGUGAAGAUGCGGUGUACCCGCGGCUAGACGGAAAGACCCCGUGAACCUUUACUAUAGCUUGACACUGAACAUUGAAUUUUGAUGUGUAGGAUAGGUGGGAGACUUUGAAGCAGUCACGCCAGUGAUUGUGGAGUCGUCCUUGAAAUACCA
Molecule: ribosomal RNA, 1706 nt
Filed under: human oral metagenome
Description: bacterial LSU rRNA
Rfam family: Bacterial large subunit ribosomal RNA
Source: RNAcentral